UACGUAGGGAGCAAGCGUUGUCCGGAAUCAUUGGGCGUAAAGCGCGCGUAGGCGGCCUUGUAAGUCCGUUGUGAAAGUCAAAGGCUCAACCUUUGAAAGCCGAUGGGUACUGUGAGGCUAGAGUCCGGAAGAGGCGAGUGGAAUUCCUGGUGUAGCGGUGGAAUGCGCAGAUAUCAGGAGGAACACCGGUGGCGAAGGCGGGUCUCUGGGCCGAUACUGACGCUGAGGAGCGAAAGUGUGGGGAGCGAACAGG
RNAcentral lists this ribosomal RNA (253 nucleotides) under uncultured bacterium. RNAcentral's name for it is "partial 16S ribosomal RNA". It matches the Rfam family "Bacterial small subunit ribosomal RNA", at positions 524 to 776 of the family's 1533-position model. The record is from RNAcentral.